This 885-nucleotide unclassified non-coding RNA is filed under the name Hevea brasiliensis (rubber tree). The record is from RNAcentral. Lineage: Eukaryota; Viridiplantae; Streptophyta; Magnoliopsida; Malpighiales; Euphorbiaceae.
AUUACUUUUAGAGUCAAAUAAGCCCAUGUUAAAUUGAUCAAUUUAAAUCCCUGACAAUUAUUGUUAGAGUGAAAUAAACUUUCGUCAAUUUAGUUGAUCCAUUUAAGCCCUUGACAAUUACAGUUAGAGUUAAAACAUUGAAAAUUUUGGUAAAAAAGGCCUGAACUCUAUCACGUGACUUAUAUGUGAGAUGGAUGGACGUUUAUUUCAUGCCCAUUUUUGUUACAUAACCUAAGAGCUAAACUCUCUAGUACUCACUCACUCUCUCUGUCUGCAACUUAAUUCCAUCAAUGGAAGAUAAAUAAUUGAAAAUAUGGUGUUGUGCACUGUUAUUGCCAUUUAACAUACCCAUUAUUGAAUUCAAUGCUUUUCAUCAUGCCCCAUGCAUAAUACGAAAGAGGAGUUUCAGGCGUUGCAUGACCCAAUGGCACCAGGCAUGCUGAACUCACGUUUAACAGAGCACACGCAAUGUCAAGGGGGGGCUUGUAAAAGCGAAUUCUCGAUUCAUAGGGGUUUAAAUGGAUCAAGUAAAUUGACAAAAGUUUAUUUGACUUUAAAUUAAUAAGAACUUAUUUGACUCUACCAGUAAUUACGAGGGGGCUUAAAAAGAUCAAUUAAAUUGACAAGAAUUUAUUUGAUUUUAAGAGUCAUUGUCAAAGGCUUAAAAAGGCUUUUUGCCUUAAAUAUAUCCUUGAAUCUUCCAACAACAGCCACUCAUUGGGGACUUAAGCUUAACCAUAGUCAUGGAUCAAACUUUCAACCACACACUUCCAUCCUUUAUUUUGCUAGGCGCACCUCAGGCACAAGGCGCACCCCUUGGCACCCAAGGCUCGAGGUGCACCCCAAGGCAUAGUAGAAAAUAAGUGGCUAGGGUUUCUUUUAAAA